Molecule: ribosomal RNA, 602 nt
Filed under: uncultured Bacteroidales bacterium
Lineage: Bacteria; Pseudomonadati; Bacteroidota; Bacteroidia; Bacteroidales
Description: bacterial SSU rRNA
Rfam family: Bacterial small subunit ribosomal RNA
Source: RNAcentral
AUCCAACCUGCCGUCUACUCUUGGCCAGCCUUCUGAAAGGAAGAUUAAUCCAGGAUGGGAUCAUGAGUUCACAUGUCCGCAUGAUUAAAGGUAUUUUCCGGUAGACGAUGGGGAUGCGUUCCAUUAGAUAGUAGGCGGGGUAACGGCCCACCUAGUCAACGAUGGAUAGGGGUUCUGAGAGGAAGGUCCCCCACAUUGGAACUGAGACACGGUCCAAACUCCUACGGGAGGCAGCAGUGAGGAAUAUUGGUCAAUGGGCGAUAGCCUGAACCAGCCAAGUAGCGUGAAGGAUGACUGCCCUAUGGGUUGUAAACUUCUUUUAUAAAGGAAUAAAGUCGGGUAUGCAUACCCGUUUGCAUGUACUUUAUGAAUAAGGAUCGGCUAACUCCGUGCCAGCAGCCGCGGUAAUACGGAGGAUCCGAGCGUUAUCCGGAUUUAUUGGGUUUAAAGGGAGCGUAGAUGGAUGUUUAAGUCGGUUGUGAAAGUUUGCGGCUCAACCGUAAAAUUGCAGUUGAUACUGGAUGUCUUGAGUGCAGUUGAGGCAGGCGGAAUUCGUGGUGUAGCGGUGAAAUGCUUAGAUAUCACGAAGAACUCCGAUUGCG